Molecule: long non-coding RNA, 5571 nt
Organism: Macaca fascicularis (crab-eating macaque)
Lineage: Eukaryota; Metazoa; Chordata; Mammalia; Primates; Cercopithecidae
Source: Ensembl
AUAACACGGGCCCGGGGAACCGACGCUGGAGAAGGGGGAUUACCCGGAGGCCGGAGGGGGGUGCUCGCCUGCCCCCUCCCCGUGGGUCGCGGGACCUACAAGCCCUCGCCCCCCAGCACCCCAAAACCAGAGCGACUGAGCGAAUUUGGCGCGGCUAGCGGAACUGUGAAGAGGCUGCUGCGCUUCUCUGUCCGCCACACUUCAGGUCACAGCCGCUCCGGAGCCGCGGCACAACCGCCUCCCUCCCCACCCAGCUCCCGGGCCUUGUCACAGACCCCGGCAGCUCGCUCCGCCCCACCGCGCCUCACAACAUCUCCCGCUGCAAAUUGUCCAAUCGGGAGACACGAUGGGAGAACGCGAGCCAAUCAGGGACUGGUUAGUCAGGCUUCCCUCCGCCCUCUUCCCCGCCCCCAGGUGAAGGCCACCGCCCCCUCGGCCUCCCCUUCCCACCCCGCCCGGCUCCUGGGAGGUGGCUCCCCGGCUCCGAACCUCGCGGGUCUGGAGGGGAGUUGCUCGCAGUCGGAGGCAGCGUUUGUCACCUUGUCACCCUCAUCCUCGGCCCCUUCCCAUACACACUCCUCUCUCCUUUUCAGUGCUCCUGCUGGUGCUGUUGAGGGUCAUUUUAUCCUCACUGCGGCGGGGGACUGCCAGCUAUUGUGUCUGAUCAGCUGCCACCGCCGUCCAGAGGGAAAAAAAAGAGGAACAAAACCUAGAAGCUAUGGAGUCCGCUUACCUUUUCCUUCUUUCUUGCUACUCUCCCCUGUAGACUUAGAGUCUUCCCCCGCCCGCCCACCACCUGAGGUCCUGUUUCUUUGUGGGGGACAGGGGAGCGGGGACAUAAAGCACGCCCUGCAGCUGGGGCACCUGCGCCUUCGUUUUUACAUCUUCCUUAAAGUGGAUGGUGCCAAACCAAAUCGACAGCUAAAUCCUCCGCUUCAAUUCGAGGAAAGACGUUGACGAGAUCAUUUUUAGAUGGCCACGAAAUUUGCAUGUUCUUGACAGCCCGUCACCAAACAAGUCAGCUAACAAUCAAGAAAAGAAAAAUAGAAUAAAAUACAAGGAGGGAUUGCCAGUCAGAUGGUAAUUUACUAAAUAGCCCACUGGCUGUAGCAGUAUCCAGUGCUAGAUACUAUUGAGUAAAUUAACAAGAAGUGAAUAGAAAUUCAGGGUUCAAGUAGCUCACCGCUUGUGGGUUUAUAGAAUAUGUCCAGAAAGGAAAAACAAUUUACAGCACAAAACAACUCCUUACACAUGCAAAUGUGCAUGCACGGCAUAAACGGAAUACCUAACAGCUAAGGACAUUUGGGUUAAAAUUUUUGCACUAGAAAUUUUUGUAAAUGUCGAUUGUGAAAUUUGCAGUUUGAUAAAGGAGAGUAAAAUGUGGGCCAUGAAAGGAGAAGGAAAAGGAAGGAAAACACAUUCUAAAAAUUAUGGAAAAAUAACAUAACCUAGAGAGGCAAUAUUUCUAUAAGAGGUAAUAAGAUGUAAGGACCAAGAUUACAAUCCAACUCCAUUUACCACAUAACUUAGCGCGAAUUAUUACUUAUGUGUCUAAGUACUAGAGCUAUCAAAUUCAACGCCUCCUGCUAGGUAUUCCUCUAAAAGCUUUACACAACAAGAUAGGUGGGUGGUGAAGGAAGGUUUCAAGCCCAGGGGAUCUGGCUCCAGAGUCCAUUCUUUUAUUCACAAUACUAUACUAGGCUGGGCUCAGUGGCUCACGCCUGUAAUCCCAACACUUCGGGAGGCUGAGGUGGGAGGAUUGCUUGAGUCCAGGAGUUUGAGACCAGCGUGGGCAACAUAGGGAGACCCGUUUGUACAAGCAAAAUGUUAGCUGGGUGUGGUGGCAUGCGCCUGUAGUCCCAGCUGAUUAGGAGGCUGUGAGGCAGGAGGAUCGCUUGAGCCCAGGAGUUCAAGGCUGCAGUGAGCUAUGUCCAAGAGUGGCACUCCAGCCAGGGCAACAGAGCCAGACUGUGUCUCAAAAAAAAAAAAAAAAAAAAAAAAAAAGAUAAAACAACAGUAUACUACCUCUUAAUAUGGGUUUUUAAUAAUAACAGCUAACACUUAACUUACUAUGUGUUAAUUAUUGUGGUCUUUCAGUGCCAAUGUAACUCUACUCCUGGGACAAAUAUAAUCGUGAUGUUCCAAAAUUUGGGAAUGUUUUUAAGAACUGUUAUGAUAAGUUACUCUCUUAGGUGUCUCACGCGUAUUAGGCUAUCUGGAUGGAGAGUGCAAAAGGCACAUAGUUAAAAUUUGAAAAAUUUAACUGGGCUUCCACUGGGCCUCUGAGUUGUAACAGCACCCUCCCUAUCUUGCUGGACUGUUGAAGAGAAUCAAAUGAGAUAUAGAUGUGAAGAAACUUUUAAGGCCAGGUGCAGUGGCUUAUGCCUGUAAUCUCAGCACUUUGGCAGGCCCAGGCAGGAGGACCGCUUGAGCCCAUGAGUUCGACAAGCCUGGGCAACAUAACGGGGUCCUAUCUCUAUUUAAAAAAUUUUGUUAAGUUAGCCAGGUGUGGUGGUCAAUGCCUGCGGUCCCAGCUACUUGGAAGGCUCAGGUGUGAGGAUCGCUUGAGCCCGAGAGAUCAAAGCUGCAGUGAGUCUUGAUCACGCCAGCGCACUCCAGCCAGGGCAACAGAAGACACUUUUAAAAUGUAAAAAAAAAAUUAUUUCAAUUAAAAUAUUACAGACUGAGCAUGGUGGCUUAUGUCUGUAAUCCCAGCUCUUUGGGAGGCCAAGGCGUGCGGAUCACUUAAGGCCGGGAGUUCGAGACCAACCUGGGCAACAUGGUGAAACCCUGUCUCUACUGAAAAUACAAAAAUUAGCCUGGCGUGGUAGCACGAGCCUGGAAUCCCAGCUGCAUGAGAGGCUGAGGCAUGAGAAUCUCUUGAGCCCGGGAGGCAGAGGUUGGAAUGAGCUGAGAUUGCACCACUGCACUCCAGCCGGGAUGACAGAGCAAGGACUCUAUCUCAAAAAAUAAAAUAAAAUAUGAUUAUGAAGCAGAAGUUUGUACUAUUUCCCCAACAGCAACCCUACUGUUUAUAACAUUUUAUUGUUACUGUUUAGGAAUAUAUGAACCCAGUUAAAAAUUAGGUCUAUUCCUUUCUGAAGCCAUGAACAAGAAUAUUUUAAUAUCAGCUCUCAUUUGGACGCUUUUGCUUGUUUGUUUUGUUUGUUUUUGUUGUUUUUGAGACGGCGUCUCACUCUGUCACCAGGCUGGAGUGCAGUGGCACAGUCUCGGCUCACUGCAACCUGUGCCUCCUGGGCUCAAGAGAUUCUGGUGCCUCAGCUUCCUGAAUAGCUGGAACUACAGGCACACGCCACCACACCAGGGUAAUUUUUCUUUCUUUUUCUUUUACCCCCACCCCCGCACCCCACCCCUCCCACCCCGUAGAGACAGGGUUUUGCCACAUUACCCAGACCGAUCUCGAACAACUGACACCUCAACCUCCCAAAGUGCUGGGUUUACAGGCGUGAGCCACCGCGCUUGGUCAUUUGGAUGCUCUCUGACCAGACCAAAAAGUGAGUGUGGCACCCCUAUGCAUCUGGAAAGAGGAAGCCUACAGCUGGUUUUCCUCCAUUCCAAAGGCUAAUCGGCUUAAUUGCUGGAGGGUGCAAGCCUUUGGAAUUCUCUUUAACUGCCCAUGGUGGACAUCUCACUUGUGAACACCUCCACCAGAGGGAGGGCAAGGGAAAGGAAAGGGGGCCAAACUUCAGUCAUGUGGCUAUGUGUUAGUUUCAGUAAGAGAUUUGGUGAAACAAUAGGUUUUGGGGCCAUUGUAACUGAAAGGAGAUUGAAACUAACUGGUUGCUAUCUUGAUAGUUUUCUUUAUCCUCAAAUAUCAUGGAUAAGCAAGAGCUAACAGUAAUUCUAGCGCUGUUUGCUUUGAAAGGCUAUUGUCCUCCUUAGAGUAUAGCUAAUAAAUGUGUGGGUUUCCUAUAAUCAAACUUCUUGGAGUAUCCUUUGAAAUAGCCUCUGAAAUUACCAUAGCUAUAUUAAUAAAAACAAGGAAGUUUUAUACACUAAAAACUAAGCAAGACAUUUUUGAAGAUGGGAACUGUAUCCUUGAAAGGUAAGUGUUGGCUUUGCUAACCACAUAAUAUCGUUUUGGUGAAUGAUUAUCAAGGGAAAAAAUGUCAAAGCCAGAAAUAGAGUCAAAGUAUCCCAGUCCCUGAUGUGGAAGGUCAUUCUAUGAUAAUCUAUGAAUGAUUUCUACUCUGAAUAUGUUAACAGAAGCUGGCAAUUCUGAGAAGCACAAGUGUUUCCUAGUGAAUCCACAAAUGAAAUUUGCAAUUUGGGUGAAGCAUUUGCAAAACUAUGUUAAGACCAGUGGCCCUCAGAGGAGUAAGGGGUUUUCUUUUGUUGGUUUUAGGAAAAUGCUUUUGGAUUUUAUUUCUUAUUCACACAUUACCAAAAGACACAUUACCUACUAAUAUUACUAUGAAAAAGCAAAAGACUUUUUUUUUUUUUUUUGAGACAGAGUCUCACUUUGUCAUCCAGGCUGGAGUACAAUGGUGUGAUCUUGGCUCACUGCAACCUCUGCCUCUUGGGUUCAAGCGAUUCUCGUGCCUCAGCCUCCCCAGUAGCUGAGACUACAGGCAUGCACCACCACACCCAGCUAAUUUUUGUAUUUUUUAGUAGAGACAGAAUUUUACCAUGUUGGCCAGGCUGGUCUUGAACUCCUGACCUCAGGUGAUCCACCCACUCAGGCCUCCCAAAGUGCUGGGAUUACAGGCGUGAGCCACCAUGCCUGGACAAAAAAGUGAAAGAUUUUCAUAUUGAACUGAAUAGCUACAGAAAUCCCACCACACUUGCAAGGCAUUUAACUAUUGUAAUUGAGAGAAGGGAAUGAUUCUCCACCGUCAACAAUUUCUAGGAUUCUUCAUUCAUCUCUUUUAAACAAAUAAUGUAAAUGAUUUACUAAUUUAUUGUUCUGCAUUUGCUAAAUUUAUAUCUUAUUAUUUCUCUUCACAUGAUUACUAUCUUUGAUGAUUAAUUUCUAGAAGGCAAUGACAUUAUUUAAUUCAUUAUAUACGAUGCCUAGUAAAGUGCCACACACAAUAAAUAUUCUUAAAUAAUUUCUGUGCCCUCAGUGUAUUGUCAUCUUUUCCUUCUCUGGACUAGAGUAUUAGUGUUUAUUUUGGGUUUUUUGUUUGUUUCUUUCUUUCUUUGUUGCCGUUACUUGAUUAUAAAUAGUCUUCUUUUGUUACAUGGAUAUAUUGUGGGAAAAAAAUAACAAAUCUUAUUUAGCUAAAUAUUAUCUCCUUUUUUAUCUAGAUUAUAAACUUCUCUAGAGGAGAUUCCUGGAGCUUUUACUACUUUCACAUCCCCAUAAUAUCUACCACAUCUUUUACACAUAGAAAUUACUACAGAAUUAUUCAAGAAAUAAAAGAUGGUUGUGUCACUAUUAUUGAUAAAUAUUUAUACCUCAAGAAAUUCCUGGCUGACCAAUAACAGUACAGGUCACAGGAAGAUAUAUAUAUAGGCCUGUGUGAAUAUGCCUAAAACAAAGAGUGUAAAUUAUAAGAGGUGUCCACAAAGAGAAUACUUGGUAUGGGCCUCAACUUUCAGAAAUGC